ACGCUGGCGGCAGGCCUAACACAUGCAAGUCGAGCGGAAACGACACUAACAAUCCUUCGGGUGCGUUAAUGGGCGUCGAGCGGCGGACGGGUGAGUAAUGCCUAGGAAAUUGCCUUGAUGUGGGGGAUAACCAUUGGAAACGAUGGCUAAUACCGCAUAAUGCCUACGGGCCAAAGAGGGGGACCUUCGGGCCUCUCGCGUCAAGAUAUGCCUAGGUGGGAUUAGCUAGUUGGUGAGGUAAUGGCUCACCAAGGCGACGAUCCCUAGCUGGUCUGAGAGGAUGAUCAGCCACACUGGAACUGAGACACGGUCCAGACUCCUACGGGAGGCAGCAGUGGGGAAUAUUGCACAAUGGGCGAAAGCCUGAUGCAGCCAUGCCGCGUGUAUGAAGAAGGCCUUCGGGUUGUAAAGUACUUUCAGUUGUGAGGAAGGGKGURKHGUUAAUAGCKSYAUCUCUUGACGUUAGCAACAGAAGAAGCACCGGCUAACUCCGUGCCAGCAGCCGCGGUAAUACGGAGGGUGCGAGCGUUAAUCGGAAUUACUGGGCGUAAAGCGCAUGCAGGUGGUUCAUUAAGUCAGAUGUGAAAGCCCGGGGCUCAACCUCGGAACUGCAUUUGAAACUGGUGAACUAGAGUACUGUAGAGGGGGGUAGAAUUUCAGGUGUAGCGGUGAAAUGCGUAGAGAUCUGAAGGAAUACCAGUGGCGAAGGCGGCCCCCUGGACA
Molecule: ribosomal RNA, 723 nt
Filed under: Vibrio sp. 1C12
Lineage: Bacteria; Pseudomonadati; Pseudomonadota; Gammaproteobacteria; Vibrionales; Vibrionaceae
Description: bacterial SSU rRNA
Rfam family: Bacterial small subunit ribosomal RNA
Source: RNAcentral